Molecule: long non-coding RNA, 700 nt
Organism: Sphaerodactylus townsendi
Lineage: Eukaryota; Metazoa; Chordata; Lepidosauria; Squamata; Sphaerodactylidae
Exons: 4
Source: RefSeq, a predicted model, not a curated record
UUGCAUGAGACGCUAUAGCUACAUUGGCAAUGCAGUCUCUCAAACAUUGGAGCAACAAGACAGCAACAACUCACCAAGAACCUGCUUUCAGAGCACUGAAGAUUUGCACAAGGCAGGAAAAGAAGAACACCUGGAUUGAUUUCUUGCCCAGGACUACAAGAAGUUGAAUUUUUGGAUCACAUCCACAGGAGUACCAACAACUUAGCCCAAAGAGCUACAAUGAAUAUGCUAGACCCACCAAACACGGAACAGCAAGUUGACUCAGCACUUUCAAGAACAGAGAGUUCCAUUUGAAAGCUGAGAAAUACUCAAGAUUCACAUAGUGCCAUCCAGAGAACACUUCCCUGGGCAUCCCAAAGAGAAGGGGUCUUGUACCCUUCGGUAUUUUGCUGACGAGAACACACUUUUGCACAGAACUGCCUCAGCGGAGCUAGGAGAAGAGGAGGCCUGGGAGCAGAGGCACACCUGGGCAAGACAAACAGAAGCAAAAGAAAGAUGUAUGCAGGUCACCCUAAGUCAGCUGUGACUUGACAGCGCUUCCCACCACCAAGUGCUUGGCAGGAGACCUAGAAAAAACUAUUUCAAGAAGCAGGAGCUGCCUACAACGUGUAAGUAGAAAGUGAAUCGUUUGCGUGGUCCAAAAGAGAUGAAGCGCAGGCAGGAAGAGCCCCUUUCACAUCCCAAUGACAUCUGUAGAAAA